Molecule: long non-coding RNA, 2786 nt
Organism: Stegostoma tigrinum
Lineage: Eukaryota; Metazoa; Chordata; Chondrichthyes; Orectolobiformes; Stegostomatidae
Exons: 3
Source: RefSeq, a predicted model, not a curated record
CUGCUGCAGUGGCUUUGUAAGUUAAAAUCCCUGGACUAUUUUCUUCUAUAACCAGGAAAGAUCAUUUUUGUUUUCCUGUUCCUUCCAGUUCUGGUUCUGCAGCCUUGGGACUAUAUCAUAAACACUUUCAGGAGACUCUGGGUUUUUUUUAUAAUUGUAUUCCAGUCAGGUAACUUGCUUCCUGGACUUCAAUGUACACUGGGACAAUUUCAAAGUUUGCAGAUGACACAAAACUUGGGAGAAUUGCAAUCUGUGAGAAGAGUGGAACUUCAAAAGGACAUUGUCAAAUUGGUGAGUGGCCGGACAAAUGGCAGGGCAGAUUUUGCAUAUUUUACAGCUUCCCAAGGUGAUGGGAUGUCCAGAAAUACAGCAUCUGCAACAUUGACAACACCAAAGCCCUCCUUACAAACAUCCUGGUUUUUCACUGUGACCAAAUGAUCUAUCUUAUGAUCGCAAAAUUCCUCUUCAGCUUUUUCUGCUCGUUGUUUAUGAAACUCGACAGUAUAUAGCCGUCCUGUUGGUGCAAUGGUCCGAAUGAUAGCAUGAGAAAGAGAACCACUACCUGUACCUGCAACAUAAUGAAAAAGAACGGUCCUAUUUUUAAUCUAAGAGAAAACUUCACUGCAUAACAAAAACACUUUGUAGAAUUGAAUAAAAGAAUCCUAGCAAUAAGAAGAGAAAAGACAGUGAUGAAAGGGACAACUGAUAGGUAUCCAUGCUGUAUGACUAUGUUCUGAGAAGGCCUUUUCCCCUCCCAACAAAAAAUUCAUGACAGUAUGGAUAAAAUGGCUAAUGGUUCUGCUUUUUUAUGCUAUAUUUUAAUGUGUAACUUGCCUGGGACAGUGAAGGAUAUGUGUCUCUGUGUGUAAGCUCCACCUAUAUCAAUUAUAGGAAUGAAUUGCUGGGUUUAAAUAGCCUAAAUUGGGCAUAACUAAAUCAGCACUUUCGCAAGUCACCUAGGGGUGGGUAGUAAAUUCCAAAUUAAAUGGCAUGUAAACAAACAUUUUAGAAUAUCUGCCAACCUCUACAAGCUGAACUCAAAACAUUUUUCAUUUGUUGAGUACUCUGGUCUGAAGAUUUGCUUCAGUACCUUCAGAUUGAAUUUAGUUUAUUUACAAAGAAGGUUGCAGGUUAGGAGUUGAACUCAUCGGAAGAGAAAAAGUGAACAUACUGGAUGUAGAUGAUUAGAAUUACAGUUUGACUGCAAGGGGCAAGGAUAGUUUCGGCAUCUUUUACUGCUUGUGAAACUGCAGUUUUCACAAGAUUUCCAGCAAUUUAGUUCUACUUUUAGUCCUGUACCUAUCAUUCAUUUUUCUACCCCCUCCCAUAUUUAUUCCAUCUUCUCAAUAUUUUCCUUGGACAGGAGCUUUUACCGUCCUAACUAGUUGCCAUCUCAUUCAAAUUUUAAGGUCUCUCUCCACGCCACACCAACAUUAUCCAUUGUAUUAGAUAAAUAUUCCUGAAUACCUGUUUAUUAUUGUCCCCCGCUCCAGUUUCAUCUGCUCACAGCCACCUCUCCUUAGCCACUAAUUCUUCUAAAAUACUUGGCUUAUCUUUCAAAUACCUCUAUAGCUAGUGUCUGCUGGAUAUUCUUUAUCCUUUAAAUAUCUCAGUGCAUUACUUUUAGUAUGCAAUGAAGUUUUUAAAAAAUAUGAUAAUAUUUUUCAGGCAGUGGUAAAUACCAUGACUGUAUGGGGUAAAGGAAGGCCUUUAACAACAAGUCAUACUGAAGCACAGUAAAAGUGGGCCUUUAUGGCUGGUGGUAUUAAUGAACCUUUCAGAUUUACUUUGGGAUUAUCAUCAGUGAUGUAACAGAAACCAGGAACCCUAACUCCCCAAACAGUCCUAUUUAAAAUCAAUUGCAAUUUGAAAGUGACAAGCAGGGGUUGCGGGGCGGUUGCUGCAGGUGUUUGGUUUAGGCUGUUCAAGCUGGGAGGCUGAUGAUAAAAUAGCAGCAGGCGCAGAAUACACGUUUUCCCAGUAUUGUUACAACUCUCAGAAAUUCUAGUUAAUGCUCACUUGUUGCAUCUUGUGAACCUCAAAUUAAGACCCUUUGUUCUCCCUACUGCCAAGAAUACAAUGUUGAUUCACAACCUACUAUUGAAAUGGAAAUCAGUGCAUGAAUGAAGUUCAAGACUGUUGCAGAUGUUUGAAGUUUCAGUAAAAAUAAUCCAUUCAGAAACAAAUUGGAAAUGUAUCACAGGAACUGUGUAACUAUUCUUGUAGUUAAAGUGAACAUAACACUCAGUCACAAAUCCAGAUACACACUUAAUACCACAUUUGAAUAAUUAUUCAUAACAAACCAGCUUAAAAAUGUUUAGCACUCCAGUGGAUCUGAAACACUUGUGUUGGUGCUAAAAUUACAAAAUGUGUGAUUUGUUAAAAAGUGUACAACGUUUCCGUAAGAUGCAUUUUUGUGCAAUACGGACAACAGCUGGCAUUCUGGAUUAGUGUAAAUAAGGCAAAGAGAACACACAUUUUCUCCUUGUAGAAAAAGGACUGAUCCAGUCAUAUGCUUUCAUCCAAUGUUUUGUAGUACCUAUGGCAAAAUUUAUCCAUCCACGGUGAUUCGGUGGUUAGUAUUGCUGCCUCACAGCGCCAGGGACCCAGGUUUGAUUCCUGCCUCGGGCGACCGUCUGUGCAGAGUUUGCACGUUCUCCGUGUCUGCAUGGGCUUCCUCCGGGUGGUCUGGCUUCCUUCCAGAGUCCAAAGAUCUGCAGGGUAGGUGGAUUGGCCAUGCUAAAUUGCCCAGGGGUAUUUAGGUUCAGCGGGUCAGACAAGGGAAA